This is a long non-coding RNA of Myotis brandtii (Brandt's bat), 663 nucleotides long. RefSeq lists it as uncharacterized. NCBI's taxonomy places the organism in Eukaryota, Metazoa, Chordata, Mammalia, Chiroptera, Vespertilionidae. The record is from RefSeq and is a predicted model, not a curated record. The transcript is spliced from 2 exons.
AGACACGCACACGCACACGCACACGCACAUGCACGCACACACGGGGUAAUGAAGGACAGGCCCCCUUCCCCUCUGGGUGGCAGUUCUCAGGCCUCUGCAGUGGCCUCGGAAACAGAAAACCCGCCCAGGUCGGAUGCGGGUCUGAGGCCUGCAUCCUCCUGCCUCAUUUUGGAGGGACUCGGGUGGGAGUCAGCUGAGGAGGGAUGUGGAGUCACUCGUUGUUGGAGUCGCUGGGUGAGCUGGAGGGGAGGCGUGGGGGCGAGCAGCGUGGUGGCUGCCUCGGGUCAUUAGGAUGGUCGGGAGCAGACAGUGGCCGGGAGCCUCAGGUCAUUAGGAUGGUCGGGAGCAGACAGUGGCCGGGAGCCUCAGGUCAUUAGGAUGGUCAGAAGCAGACAAUGGCCGGGAGCCUCAGGUCAUUAGGAUGAUCGGGAGCAGACAGUGGCCGGGAGCCUCGGGUCAUUAGGAUGAUCGGGUGCAGACAGUGGCCGGGAGUCGGGCAGGACUUGGUGGUUAGGUGAUGGGACUAGGAGCAAACGGGUUCCGCAGACGCCGAAAGGAGUGGGGGAUGUAGGUAAGGGGUCAGUAAAGGGUGAGUACAACAUUUAAAGAGAGGCCCUCGUUUCAGAUAUUUUAAAAAUAUGCCUGGCAAAAAAAAAAAAAAAA